Molecule: ribosomal RNA, 237 nt
Filed under: Triticum aestivum (bread wheat)
Lineage: Eukaryota; Viridiplantae; Streptophyta; Magnoliopsida; Poales; Poaceae
Description: partial small subunit ribosomal RNA
Source: RNAcentral
AUGACGAUUCUAUGCUGGAAUUGUCGGGGACUUGGGCAACCUCUGCCAGUUCAAGGGCUAGUGAGGCUAGUGCACACCUGCAAGCCUAAGUUAGUCUUCCAAUCUGAAACCCGCCAAAGCAACGAGUACAUAACUACAAAAAAAUACACUUCCGUGAUGAUACAUGUUUGUCACAGUAGGUCACGUUUUCUGUCAUGCAUGUACAUCCAUGAUGAUUUUAUGACAAAAUCAAGAUAG